This 480-nucleotide long non-coding RNA is filed under the name Jatropha curcas. RNAcentral's name for it is "long non-coding RNA (JCUR_LNC002603)". The record is from RNAcentral. Lineage: Eukaryota; Viridiplantae; Streptophyta; Magnoliopsida; Malpighiales; Euphorbiaceae.
ACUGAACCUGCUGCACCAUCCGCACCAGAACCAGUAGCAGAACUACCGAAGGAAGUAGUCGCAGAGGAACCAGCGGCCAAAGAACCAGAGGUUGAAACCAAGAAAGAAGAAGAAGAGAAGAAAGAGGAACCAGAGGCAAAAGCUGAGGAUCAGCCUGAGGCUGCACCAGCAGCAGAAGAGACUCCAGAUGUGAAGCCAGCAGAGCCUGUCACUGAGGAGGAGGCCAAAGAUGAGAGUACUGAGAAAGUGACAGAGGCGCCACCAGCAGCAGACGAAGAGAAACCAGCUACGGAAGAGAAGCCAGUUGAAAAAGAGGAGGAAGCAAGCAACACAGAGGUUCCAGUGGAGAAGACUGAAGAAUGAAUAAUGGAUUGAUUAAGUGUGCAGUCUUUUGUUUUUGUCUUAAGAUUCUGCAUAUCAAAGUUGGCAAGUUCAUAUUUCUGUUUUAGUUUAUUUGAAUUUAUUAUGGUUAUUGUAAUC